CAUGUGAUGCCAUGAUUCGUAGUUGAUGGGCAACAUAUUUGCAUUUCGUGCUAAAAUGCCCAAAUAGCCUGCUAAAAGUCGAGCUUCAGAUCCAACAGGCUGACCAUGAGUAUUUCUACUUACUUUAACACACUCGACAGGAUCUAAGUCGUAUAAAUCUCUAAGUAGCGUACGUCCUCGAACUCUGCGCGUCCCACCACUUUCA
Molecule: long non-coding RNA, 205 nt
Filed under: Gossypium barbadense (sea-island cotton)
Lineage: Eukaryota; Viridiplantae; Streptophyta; Magnoliopsida; Malvales; Malvaceae
Description: long non-coding RNA (GBAR_LNC000918)
Source: RNAcentral